GCCGCUCGUCUGAUCGCUCUGAUCGAUCCGGAGCUCCACUGAGCCGCAGGGCUGGAUCACUUCACGAAAGACGCGCUCCUCUGGGUGUUUCGCUCGCCGCAGACCGCUGAGAGUCCACAGGAGCGCAGUCCAGGGGUGUUGAGUCGCAUCGGGAGCUGGCUGUCGUGGGGUUGGGGCAGAGAUGAUCCCACCUCCCAAACACAGCAAGAGGAGGACCACGGAGAAACCAGAGCAGACGAGACAGAUCCCGCAGAGGCGAGCCCAACCCUCGACCGGAAUGCCAAACAUCUGAGACUCGAACGCAGUCAGUCGCUUGAGAGGAAAAGGCCACCUGAACGCUUUGAACAAAUGGGCCGGAGGAGAUCUGGCAGGAGGAGGCGGAGCUCUCACGGGGAUGGGGACGGAGCUAAAUCCCCAACCAAUCCCCAACCUGAAAGCCCUGUAGCAACCAGUUUGACGAGCGGCCCGCGGAAAGCAUGCGCUGACUCAGCUUUUGAGGAGGCGGCAAACAGCCUUCCAGGAGCCUCCGGAGCAGAAGUGCCAAACUCAGGUAAAGGUGAGGAUGUCGUCCGAGAGGAAUGGGCCCAAGCGAGCCUGAGCGAAGACGCUGAUUUGCCGAACUCGCCGGAUUCGCUCGUCCAAGCGGCGCUGGUUUAUUCAGAUAUGGACGAGGAACGGGUGGUGAGGCUGACGGAGAGCGCCGAAUCCAAACGCAGGAGCAUCAAAGUGUCUCACAGCGAGGUGGUCUUCGCUAAAAAGGUGGUGGUCGCCUCGGAGGACCAAAAUGAAGAACAAAAUGUGACUUUUAAAGACACCAAACGGCCUAGAUCUGAUGAAAGAGCAAGAUUUCCAGAGGACAGAGUAGACGGCACCAAUGUAAAGUCCAGUCAUCACAAGGCCCAAAUCGCAGACAAAAUCAGUCUGUUCGAGAGAGGAGCCACCAGUGCAGUUAGUAGCUCUACAAACCUGCUUCGCCUGGAUAUUUCUCCAGCUCGAAAUGUGGCCAGUCGUCUCAGAGAUUUCACAGAACAUGCCGGAACGCGGUCCAGUUCUGCACCUCCAAACCAAACGGUUAAAGAGAGGGCGAAGAAUUUCGGCGCGGGGCGGAGGGGGGAAGAGCAGCUGACGUUGCCGUCUGGUCGUACGUUGAACGAAGGACAUUCAAAAAUGGCUGAAAUAUCUUAUUCUGGACGUUUUGAAAAAUCUACAGCAAAGACGGAUACCAGCGGAGAGCCAAAGGUUAAAUCCAAACCUCAUUUAACUAUAGAUCAAACAGACUCUAAAUCCUACAAUCCAACACCUGCAUUGUCAGAGAGCACAAGUGACUCAAACGUUGGGAAUAAAGAGGCGGAUUCUCUCCCGACAGUUUCAUCACCUACUGAUGAGACACCGCAGGUUAAAUCACCUAACCGGACAGGCACGCGAUUGAAAAAACGUCGAGGCAAAGAUCCGCUGAGCCCCACUAAACAAGAAAUGGGUCAAGGUAAACAGGAGGUCAAGGACAACAAGGACAAACCUCUUGUUGAUGCAAGAGAUGUCGUAAAGACCACAGAGCCGAGCACUUCUAAUAAAGAAAGACCCAACUCUGCUGGGGAGGUCGCAAGCAAAAAACCUACAGUCCCUCCAAAGUUGGAGAAAGCAGCAGAAAUUAUGCAUAGCACAAAGAAAAAAUCUGACUCAAAGAAGACUUCACAUGCGGACACAAAAGUUCCUACAGAAGUGAAAAGCAAGGAUGAGGAGAGAGGGAAUAGCGGUGACUUUGAAGCACAGAUAGUGGCUUCUGAUACACAUCCUUCUAUAUCCAGAAAGAACAGCUCAAAUAAAGAGAAGAUACGGACCGACAUCGACUCAAAAAUGGAAGAGAAACAAAAAAACAGCAACAAAAAGCAGCACUCAGAAGGAGAGAAGGGAGACGAGCAGAGGAACAGAGACUUGAUUGUAAACUCAUUGUUUGGAGAGUCAGGGAAACCAGAUCCAUCUGUGACAAAAGAUGAAAAACCACUGUCCCCAGAGGACCUGAAAGAGGCCAGAUCUAAAGACUCCUCUGAGCCAGCCAAUAGCAGCGCUGCACCCUUUAGGAACGAUGCCAUGCGAAACAGAGGGAGUGAGACGGAUACGCUGGUCUUACCUGAGAAAGACACCAUUGCGUUUGUGUCUAUAGUGGAAAACACCCCUGAAAAUAACCCAAAAUCGGCACAAAGACUGUCAAAGAUGAACCAAAAGAGUCAAGAAAAAGACUGUUUGACUGAGAUUACCAGUCAGAACCAGAAAAACGACCUUGUUACAGAAACAACUGAGACACACAAACAUAAUGAAUUCAAUACAUCAAAGCCAACCGAGCAGAAAGUAGAAGGUAAAACAAAACAAGGUAAAUCGAAGGACACCUCUGCUGUGAGACAGGAAGACACAACAAUUAUGGCAACCAGUCAAGGUAAAGAAGCUCAGACUACUGAGAAAAACUCAUGCGCUGAAUUGUCCGAUCAGACUAAAGAAAACACCACUUCUACAAGCAAGACACCGAAAGGACACCUCUGCUGUGAGACAGGAAGACACAACAAUUAUGGCAACCAGUCAAGGUAAAGAAACUCAGACUACUGAGAAAAACUCAUGCGCUGAAUUGUCCGAUCAGACUAAAGAAAACACCACUUCUACAAGCAAGACACCGGCAACACCAAACCCUGCACUGGACCAAAUGGACAGCAUAAUUUCACCUCAAAUUGCACCUACAGAGGGAGGCGGUCCCAAAAGAGAUGGGCCGCCCCCACGGAGCCAAUCAGAGAGCGGAGAAGAACAGAAGACACAGACGGUAUCUAGUAAAAGGGAUUUACAACAGCAACAAAAGCCUGACACUGAAACUAAAAAUGGAGGCACCAAAGAAACCAAGAGUAAAAUCACCAGCACAGAAAAGACAUCCAAAGUGAAUGGCGAUAUACACUCUGUAGAGACAGGAGAUCAGGUUUCUGACAGUCUUAAGCAGUCUGGAGAAGAAAUACUUGGAAAUACCUUACCUGAAAUACCAUCCAAUAAUGAAAGUCUAUCUCUGAGCUCAUUUUCAUCUGAAGCCACUGAAGCGUCCACCGAGCAGUCUGGCCAGGUCAGUAAAAAGUUUACCGCUAAACCAGCCUCAACAGAUGAUACAGCCUUCAGUUUACCAGCCUCAAGUGAUAACAACAACACAACUUUAUCAAACUCAGCUAAUAAAAAAACAACUAAUGAAAAGACCACUCCCCCAGCAGCCUCACCCAAUGCAACAACCACACCUGAAAAACCAACAACUAUCGAAAAGACCCCACAAGCCUCAACCAAUGAGAAAACCUCCACUUUACCUGCCUCAACUAAAGGAAAGACUACACCUCCACCAGCAACAACAACUGAGACAAUCUCUGCUUCAUUAGGCUCCAGUGAUGACAAGAACAAAACUCUGCCUGCCUCAACUAAUGAAACGAACAAAACUCCAUCAGAGUCAGCUAACAAAAGGAUGACUAUCGAAAAGACCACCUCUCCACAAGCCUCAACCAACGAGAAAACCUCCACUUUACCUGCCUCAACUAAAGGAAAGACUACACCUCCGCCAGCAACAACAACUGAGACAAUCUCUGCUUCAUUAGGCUCCAGUGAUGAGAAGAACAAAACUCUGCCUGCCUCAUUUAAUGAGGUCAUCUCCAGUUUACUGUCCUCAACUAAUGCAAAGACAACACCUCCUUCAGACUCAGCUGAUAGAAAGAGAACUGAUGAAAAAGAUAUGUAUCUACUAGCAUCAACUGAUGAAAAGAUCGCACAAUCACCAGUCUCAUCUAAUAAAAAGAUGGGCCAGGGUGUGCUGUGAUUGGCUAGCUGGGCCAGUGUGUGAUGUGAUUGGCUAGCUGGGCCAGUGUGUGCUGUGAUUGGCUAGCUGGGCCAGCGUGUGCUGUGAUUGGCUAGCUGGGCCAGUGUGUGCUGUGAUUGGUCAGCUGGGUCAGUGUGUGCUGUGAUUUGUUUGCUGGGCCGGUGUGUUGUGAUUGGUUAGAUGGGCCAGGGUGUGUUGUGAUUGGUCAGCUGGGCCAGUGUGUGCUGUGAUUGGUUUGCUGGGCCGGUGUGUUGUGAUUGGUUAGAUGGGCCAGUGUGUGCUGUGAUUGGUUAGAUGGGCCAGGGUGUGUUGUGAUUGGCUAGCUGGGCCAGUGUGUGCUGUGAUGGGUCAGUGUGUGCUGUGAUGGGCCAGUGUGUGCUGUGAUCGGCUAGCUGGGCCAGGGUGUGUUGUGAUUUCUGUUAAAUAAAAUAUCUC
Sinocyclocheilus grahami is the source of this 4261-nucleotide long non-coding RNA. NCBI's taxonomy places the organism in Eukaryota, Metazoa, Chordata, Actinopteri, Cypriniformes, Cyprinidae. The record is from Ensembl.